UACGUAGGUGGCAAGCGUUGUCCGGAUUUACUGGGCGUAAAGGAUGCGUAGGCGGACAUUUAAGUCAGAUGUGAAAUACCCGAGCUUAACUUGGGUGCUGCAUUUGAAACUGGGUGUCUAGAGUGCAGGAGAGGUAAGUGGAAUUCCUAGUGUAGCGGCGAAAUGCGUAGAGAUUAGGAAGAACACCAGUGGCGAAGGCGACUUACUGGACUGUAACUGACGCUGAGGCAUGAAAGCGUGGGGAGCAAACAGG
RNAcentral lists this ribosomal RNA (253 nucleotides) under uncultured bacterium. RNAcentral's name for it is "partial 16S ribosomal RNA". It matches the Rfam family "Bacterial small subunit ribosomal RNA", at positions 524 to 776 of the family's 1533-position model. The record is from RNAcentral.